ACCCACAAACUGAACCAUGAGAUCAUGAUCUGAGCUGAAGUUGGUCACUUAACCCACUGAGCCACCCAGGCACUUCCUAGGACUAUCUCUUAAUGCUCGGAUAACCUCUUCCUGGUAUUUCUUCUAUUGUUGAUUUUUAACAUAGUUAUCUGUAAUUGUGUGAAUGGAGUUGAGUGGAGAGGUACUAAUGUUCGUUCUAAUUAAGGAUACAUAAUCGAUUCCUAUAGUUAUGAAGAGGAUGACAGGCAGUGCAACUGCCCAAUAUUUUUGAGGCCAGUAGGUUGAGCCUCAGGAGUUUAGCCAAGAGUCAGGAGAUAUAUGAAGCCUAAUUGGGAGCUUAAGAAAAGAACAAAGCCCAAACACGAAUAGCUCUUUCUGAAAAAGGCGACGGUGAAUUUUUUAUCAUAUUCCCUGAGGCUUUAGACAAUCUGUGGUGGCGCACUCGCCACUCAUGCCUCUCAGGCCUGCAUGAUUCCCCCCGCCCCGCGCCCGGGUCCUCUGCGCAAGCGCCAACCAGAGAGCCACGUGGGAGAGAGGGGACCUGAAGAAGAAAAGGCCAAGAGCGCAGGCGCGCCGCGAUCCUCCGGCUGGCGCAUGAGCUUUAGAACUGUGGUUACAGCCCCCUUUGUAAUCCUGUCUUAAGUUCCAUAGACUCCUCGUAGAAACUUUGGAACUAUUUUCUGGUGACUCAGCAUUUGGAACAACUAGGCCUGCCUAGCAGAAUACCAGAAGAUGCCAGUUCUAACUCAGCCACAAUUCACAGAGAGAGAGAGAGACAGAAC
Molecule: long non-coding RNA, 782 nt
Organism: Felis catus (domestic cat)
Lineage: Eukaryota; Metazoa; Chordata; Mammalia; Carnivora; Felidae
Exons: 3
Source: RefSeq, a predicted model, not a curated record